This 400-nucleotide ribosomal RNA is filed under the name phytoplankton environmental sample. RNAcentral's name for it is "partial small subunit ribosomal RNA". It matches the Rfam family "Eukaryotic small subunit ribosomal RNA", at positions 587 to 994 of the family's 1831-position model. The record is from RNAcentral.
AGCUCCAAUAGCGUAUAUUAAAGUUGUUGCGGUUAAAAAGCUCGUAGUUGGAUUUCUGUCUUAAGUGACCGUCCCACCUUCGGGUUGGUGACAGGUUCGCUAAAGACUUACGUUUUGUAAACACGGUAUCACCUUGUUGUGGAACCGGUUUCUAAACACGUUACUUUGAGGAAAUUAGAGUGUUUCAAGCAGGCGAAAGCCUUGAAUACAUUAGCAUGGAAUAAUAAAUUUGAACUUGGUUCUUUUUUGUUGGUUUCUGGAACUAAGGUAUUGAUUAAUAGGAACAGUCGGGGGCAUUCGUACUUAACAGUCAGAGGUGAAAUUCUUGGAUUUGUUAAAGACGAACUAAUGCGAAAGCAUUUGCCAAGGAUGUUUUCAUUGAUCAAGAACGAAAGUACGC